AGAGUUUGAUCCUGGCUCAGAACGAACGCUGGCGGCGGGCCUCAUACAUGCAAGUCGAGCGCGAAAGUCCGCAAGGAUGAGUAAAGCGGCGCACGGGUGAGUAACACGUGGGUAAUCUACCCUUUGGAUUGGAAUAACCUGUCGAAAGACGGGCUAAUGCCGAGUGAGCUCUCGAAGAUGUGAAGUCUUUGAGAGGAAAGAUGGCGCAAGCUAUCGCCGAAGGAUGAGCCUGCGUCCCAUUAGCUAGUUGGUGAGGUAAUGGCUUACCAAGGCUAUGAUGGGUACCCGGUCUGAGAGGAUGACCGGGCACACUGGAACGGAAACACGGUCCAGACUCCUACGGGAGGCAGCAGUAGGGAAUAUUGCGCAAUGGACGAAAGUCUGACGCAGCCACGCCGCGUGAGUGAGGAAGGCCUUCGGGUUGUAAAGCUCUGUCAUCUGGGAAAAACGGCUAUCCGGGGAAAGUUCGGGUAGCGUGAUGGUACCAGAGGAGGAAGCACCGGCAAACUCUGUGCCAGCAGCCGCGGUAAUACAGAGGGUGCAAGCGUUGUUCGGAAUUACUGGGCGUAAAGCGUGCGUAGUCGGUAUUGAGAGUCACGGGUGAAAUCCCAGGGCUUAACCCUGGAACUGCCUGUGAGGCCUCAGUACUAGAGUGUGAGAGGGGAUAGUGGAAUACCCAGUGUAGCGGUGAAAUGCGUAGAGAUUGGGUAGAACACCGGUGGCGAAGGCGGCUAUCUGGCUCACAACUGACGAUCAGGCACGAAAGCGUGGGGAGCAAACAGGAUUAGAUACCCUAGUAGUCC
RNAcentral lists this ribosomal RNA (803 nucleotides) under uncultured bacterium. Its description in RNAcentral is "bacterial SSU rRNA". It matches the Rfam family "Bacterial small subunit ribosomal RNA", at positions 8 to 796 of the family's 1533-position model. The record is from RNAcentral.